CCUGUGCACAGGCUGCAGGGGACAGCCCAAGCACUAACAGUUGUCUUCCUUUGUGAACUGCUAAGACAAGAGCGUUUAAGAUAAAUAGUGUCAACAAGAAUACCUUCUCACAGUCUCCUUUCGGUUCCCAAAGACAACAUUUCCUCAUGGGGUUUUAGAUUACAGCAAGGAGACCCUAACAUCUUCCCCCUUUUCACUUUUUUCUUUUUCUUUUGUGGUGACAGCGGCGGCGGAGGGUGUCGCUAAUUUAAUUUGUACCUCGUCCCAGAGAGGAACUGUUAUCCUGAAGAAGGGGGCUGUUCAGCAGGGAUGAACUCUGACCUCCAGGAAUGCAUAAAACUGAACAUGCUGCCCAAAGGAGUCCAGAUAAGUCAAGAGCCAAAUAGCUGGAUUUGCAUACUUAACUAUCACAUAUACAAAAGAAGCCCUGCUACAUAAACCUCUCUGGGAUCCAGCUAUACAUCUAGAGGAAAAUAAAAUCAACAGUGAAAACCCAUUAAAGGCGUGCAACUCCAGGCAUCAUAUCAAUAUGAAGUGAAGGACAGAGCCCACAAGAGGGCAUGAGAUUGCAGCCAGAUGGUCCAUUGAUUAGCGAAAGAAGUUACCCCGGUGGUAGGUUCACACCAGUCUUCUUGUAUUAAGAAAGCAAGAAGUUGGUGUUACACAUCUCCAGUUAACCUACGAGCGCCAAAAUACACCUUAGUUGUUGUUUUUGUCUCUCGCUCUGUAGCAGAAGCAAAAACAAUGCAUGCCUAAAUACUGGAGUGAAUGCCUGAGAUGGUUAGGGAUAGCUUCUUUUAACUUGUUGGCCAUGUGGAAAAUUAUUAAACCACAAAAAAUAUGAUUUGUUACAGUCUAGGAAGAUGCAGAAUACAUAAUGUUUUUUAAUGACUAUGACAAGUAAUACUUGUAUAGUUAAAAAAACAAAACGAAAGACGCACAUACCGUACAGAAUGGAUCGACCUGCUGUGUACUGAUUACUGAGGAAUCUGACUGAGGAAGCGGGAGAAGAUAAAGAGGAGAAGAACGUCCACACUGUGGCGAAAUCCAUUCACGCUAUCUCAACGUCACAUUCUACAGGUACAAUAAAACAUUUUCUUGUCAGCAAGUUCACAGAGCCUGUUGUGCUCGGGUGUAUUGUAACCAGGAGGUCACCGGUUCAAAUCCCACCUCAGCCACUGACUCAUUGUGUGACCCUGAGCAAGUCACUUAACCUCCUUGUGCUCCGUCUUUCAGGUGAGACGUAAUUGUAAGUGACUCUGCAGCUGAUGCAUAGUUCACACACCCUCUCUGUAAGUCGCCUUGGAUAAAGG
Long non-coding RNA from Acipenser ruthenus (sterlet), 1313 nucleotides. RefSeq lists it as uncharacterized. The transcript is spliced from 4 exons. The record is from RefSeq and is a predicted model, not a curated record. Lineage: Eukaryota; Metazoa; Chordata; Actinopteri; Acipenseriformes; Acipenseridae.